This 390-nucleotide long non-coding RNA is filed under the name Cricetulus griseus (Chinese hamster). Its description in RNAcentral is "lncRNA (ENSCGRG00015031563.1)". Lineage: Eukaryota; Metazoa; Chordata; Mammalia; Rodentia; Cricetidae. The record is from RNAcentral.
AGAUGGGGUUCUGUGACUUCACGUCUGGGAGGAAUGUGACUGCUUGGAUUCAGGCUGUGUGAUGCAGAGACAUGUGAUAUGAAUGGGACUCAGAGUUUGACCUGGUUCCCUGGCUGAGACAAGAGAGGGAGACACUGAGGAGGUCCACUUCAAGUCUUCGCAGCAGAGCCACCAAAGCCCAAGGCAGACUGGGGACAGAGUCUUCAGUUUGGUCUUCAUCACGCAGGGAACAGUUACACAAUGGGAAAGGUGACUCCGUGUGAGAAGAGAGUCCAGAGAAACCAGGUUGUUUUUGGUCACGGUGUUCCCAGGAAAAGAAUCCUAACCAAGACAGCAGACUUUAUAUCGUUCUAGGCAUCGGUAGAAGGUGACCAGACAAAUGGACACCCG